RNAcentral lists this unclassified non-coding RNA (348 nucleotides) under soil metagenome. RNAcentral's name for it is "partial contains 5.8S ribosomal RNA, internal transcribed spacer 2, and large subunit ribosomal RNA". The stretch from base 1 to 120 matches the Rfam family "5.8S ribosomal RNA", at positions 35 to 154 of the family's 154-position model. The record is from RNAcentral.
GAUGAAGAACGUAGCGAAAUGCGAUAAGUAAUGUGAAUUACAGAAUUCAGUGAAUCAUCGAAUCUUUGAACGCACAUUGCGCCCGCCAGUAUUCUGGCGGGCAUGCCUGUCUGAGCGUCAUUUCAACCCUCAUGCCCCUAGGGCGUGGUGUUGGGGAUCGGCCAAAGCCCGCGAGGGACGGCCGGCCCCUAAAUCUAGUGGCGGACCCGUCGUGGCCUCCUCUGCGAAGUAGUGAUAUUCCGCAUCGGAGAGCGAUGAGCCCCUGCCGUUAAACCCCCAACUUUCCAAGGUUGACCUCAGAUCAGGUAGGAAUACCCGCUGAACUUAAGCAUAUCAAUAAGCGGAGGA